AGGGGGUUUACUUGUACACCAAGCUGCCUCAGGAAUAGAAGAUCUGCUCCAAUGAGCUGAUCUGGCUCAGCCAAGGCUUCAUACUUAUAGUCAAGAUGAUGAUGAACUGGUAUUAUAAAAUACUAUGUAUUUGCAGUUAUUGAACGAGUGGAUGUUUGGAGAAUAAACAAAAAACACUAGUAACAUCCAACAAAUACAUAAUUUAUUACUCCAAACGUCAUCAGAGCAUUUCAUAAAUACCACAGGACAUUAGAUCUUGGGACGUUAGCCCAACCAAAACAGUGACAAAAUCUUGCACAAAAUAUCUUGAAAAGAAACAUAUAGUAAACAUUGAACUGGUACAGCACUUCCAUUCAGACCACACAGCAAGUCCACCUACAGAUACAGAUAAGCCUAUUUGAUGUAUGAAGUGUGAUUGUGCCAAAAAACGGUCUCUAAUUGCACCCUAUUGCCUAUGUAGUGCACUACGUUUGAAGAGAGCCCUAUUGGCCCUGUAGGGAAUAGGGUGCCAUUUGGGAUGCAGGUUAAGAGUAUUUAGUCUGUGGUAGCAUAAACAUUAAUGACUAGACACUGGCAUAGGUACACAGUUAUGUACACUAAAACAACAACAACAAAUAAAACAGCUUCUAUUAUCUGAACAGCCAUCACUAGCCGUCUACCAGGGGAUGCACACUCACUGACACAAGCUAUCACACCCCUCAUACUCACAAAACACAUACACUCACACACACAGGCAUACAAGCAGCUGCCGGUGCUAUCCAGUGUUGUAAAUACAUUGAACCACUGGACGUUUCCCGUUUCACAUUGAGAAUUGAAAUACUGUACUCCCGACACAGCUCAUUCUGAUAUUUCUACUACUGUACUUUGUGUUUAGUUACACUGUUUUAUACACAUCGCAUAUUUAUUUAUACACCGGAUUCUUGACAUAGCUCAGUAAUAUCAGUGGUGAUAUUUUGAUACUGAAGUACCUUGUUAAAAAUACAUUAAAGUACUCCUUAAAAGUCGUUUUUGAGGUAUCUAUACUUUACUAUUUCUAUUUUUGACAACUUUUUUUUUAUUACUACAUUCCUAAAGAAAACAAUGUACUUUUUACUCCAUACAUUUUCCCUGACCCUCAAAUGUACCCGUUACAUUUUUUAUGCCUUGCAGGACAUAUUGUUCAAUUCAUGCAUUUAUCAAGAGAACAUCCCUGGUCUUCCCUGGUGCCUAUGAUCUGUCUGACUCACUAAACACACAUGCCUUGUUGGUAAAUUGUCUGAAUGUUGGAGUGUGUCCCUGGCUAACUGUGCAUUUUAAAAACAAGAAAAUGGUGCUGUCUGGUUUGCUUAAUAUAAGGAAUUUGAAAUGAUUUAUACUUUUUACUUUUGAUACUUAAGUAUAUUUCAGCAAUUACAUGUACAUUUGAUACUAAAGUAUAUUUUAGCAAUUACAUGUAUUUUUGAUACUGAAGUAUAUUUAAAACCAUAUACUUUUAGACUUUUAGUAGUAUUUUAAUUUAAUGAGUGACUGUCAAUUUUACUUGAGUCAUUUUCAAUUAAGGUAAAGUAUCUUUACUUUGACUCAAAUAUGACAACUGGGGACUUUUUCAACCACUGACUAAUAUACAGUAUGUACUGCUGCACAUAUCACUCUCAGUAGAUCUAGUGUAAAUCCUCCUGUGUAUAUACGUAUCGAUUGCAUCUGCAUUACUUUUACAGGGCAAUUUGGGUUGUUAAUUGUCCUGACUUUCUUGAUAUCUUUUUUUUGUUUAACUUUUUAAAAAUGUUUUAUUAUUAUUUGUGUACUUGUUCGACAUUUUACUGCAUUGUCAGAAACUAGAAAUGUACGUAAGCAUUUCAUAACAUCCGCUAAACUGUGGACACAAACUAUACACCUUGAUUUGUACCGUAGUGGAACCUGAUUCACCAACUUAGCAGUAGUUAAGUGUAUGAUGUCUAGCAGUUCAUGUUGGUACGUGUGUGUGUGUGUGUGUGUGUGUGUGUGUGUGUGUGUGUGUGUGUGUGUGUGUGUGUGUGUGUGUGUGUGUGUGUGUGUGGGUAUGUCUGGGUGGUCCUAAUGCCCCCCCAACCCCUACAUGGUGCUAGGCUGAAUGCUGCAGAGUCAGCUAGUUGGUUCUAGAAUCAUUGCACAUAAUGACAACGUCUCUCUCUCAGUUUGGCUGUCUAGAGACACAGAUUUUAUACUACACCACCUUAUUUAGGAAACACACACAGGGCCGGCCCUAGGCAUAAGAAACAUAGGCAACCAGUUUUUUGGGAACUCAGUCAGGGUCUCAGGUUAAUGUUGAGCGUUAGAACAGUACAAUAAACAUGGUGUAAUUUCGAAAUUUGGUUGUGCAUCUGGAGUUUUUGUGUAGAAAUGCAGGACAUUUGCUGUAAAAUUGCACAUUUAUCUCUCCACCCAAUGUCUCGAGGUGCAGCAAACGUGUUUAAUAAAAUAAUUCAAUGCCCUAUUGGCAAAAUGUGUAGAAUUGCAGUUAAUUAAAUUGCAUUUAAUUGACAAAAAAAUAAAUAAUAAUCUCUCCACUGUCAAGAGGGGAGCCACUAAAAUGUUUUGCCCGUGAGUUGGAAGAGGCCCAAAAGGCUAGGGCUGGCCCUGCAUGCAUGCACACAUGUGCACCCACACACACAUACACCAUGAUGAACUUUGACACACACAGAGCCAAGGUGCAUGGAGAGGUCAUGGCCAGGAGGAAGCAAGGUAGAUAAUCAAGGAGAGGACCAGGAGUGAGCAGAGUACAUGUCCAGGAGAGGACCAGGAGGGAGCAGAGUAGAUGUCCAGGAGAGGACCAGGAGGGAGCAGUGUAGAUGACCAGGAGGGAGCAGUGUAGAUGUCCAGGAGAGGACCAGGAGGGAGCAGUGUAGAUGUCCAGGAGAGGACCAGGAGGGAGCAGUGUAGAUGUCCAGGAGAGGACCAGGAGGGAGCAGAGUAGAUGUCCAGGAGAGGACCAGGAGGGAGCAGAGUAGGUGUCCAGGAGAGGACCAGGAGGGAGCAGUGUAAAUGUCCAGGAGAGGACCGGGAGGGAGCAGAGUAGAUGUCCAGGAGAGGACCAGGAGGGAGCAGUGUAGAUGUCCAGGAGAGGACCAGGAGGGAGCAGAGUAGAUGUCCAGGAGAGAACCAGGAGAGACCAGUGUAGAUGACCUGUUUAUGCUAGAUGUUCCUCUUUAGAAGCUUUUCUUUUUUUGACACAAAGACCACAGCAUUAAAGAAACGCACUGAAAUGUCCAAUACACACAGACAAACACAGAGCACACAUGCACGCUUUUACAGGGGAAUGCAUACCCUCUGGAUUUGCAUUUAUUCAAAUAUGGGUUCUUUAUGUCCAAGUCUAAAACCAUGUUUUCUUUUCAAUGUGUGGGUCUUUUCUGUAUAAUUUUCAGUUUUUGUAGGCUGCUGAUGCAAAUGUAGUGAGAUGGUCGGGUUACUAGAUUUGCACAUUCCACACAACAAUAAACAUUUAAAUAAUGAAUGCUUUUUAUAAUUUAUUUAUGAAUAAAAAAACUAAAUCCAAUAAAAAAACGGUGUUUAUUUGCUAUCACACAUUGACCCAUACUGACAUAUUUUUUGUGCUGCAGGGCUUUUGACAACAAUUGGCGCCGGCCAAAGCUACAGUACAGGACAAAGAGAUUCAUCCAAAAGAACAAAGUUCACAGAUUCAACACCAUCAGUUGACAACACUUGAGACGCAAAGCCACAACACACAGGCCACUAAAACUGUUUUAGACGGGUAGAAAACAGCCUGGCCAACAGUAGCUACAUUUAGCGUGGUUAUACUAUUGUCAUAGCACACUGUUGAUCACAAGACUGUUUACAGCUAGGGGAAGUGGUCGGGGCUAUGUGAAAAACAGCUAGGGGAAAUGGUCGGAGUUAUGUCUUAAACAGCUAGGGGAAAUGGUCGGAGUUAUGUCUUAAACAGCUAGGGGAAAUGGUCGGAGUUAUGUCUUAAACAGCUAGGGGAAGUGGUCGGGGUUAUGUCUUAAACAGCUAGGGGAAAUGGUCGGGGCUAUGUGAAAAACAGCUAGGGGAAAUGGUCUAGGGGAGUUAUGUCUUAAACAGCUAGGGGAGGUGGUCGGGGUUAUGUCUUAAACAGCUAGGGGAAGUGGUCGGGGCUAUGUGAAAAACAGCUAGGGGAGGUGGUCGGGGUUAUGUCUUAAACAGCUAGGGGAAGUGGUCGGGG
Molecule: long non-coding RNA, 4177 nt
Organism: Oncorhynchus tshawytscha (Chinook salmon)
Lineage: Eukaryota; Metazoa; Chordata; Actinopteri; Salmoniformes; Salmonidae
Source: Ensembl